UUAAGUUCAGCGGGUCUUCCUACCUGAUCCGAGGUCAACCUUGUAAAAUGGGGGGUUUAACGGCCGGAACCCGCAGCACGCCCUGAGCGAGAUGUAACUACUACGCUCGGAGUGACAGCGAGCCCGCCACUGGUUUCAGGGCCUGCGGCAGCCGCAGGUCCCCAACACAAGCCCGGGGCUUGAUGGUUGAAAUGACGCUC
Molecule: unclassified non-coding RNA, 200 nt
Filed under: Malbranchea sp.
Lineage: Eukaryota; Fungi; Ascomycota; Eurotiomycetes; Onygenales; Malbrancheaceae
Description: partial internal transcribed spacer 2
Source: RNAcentral